Molecule: unclassified non-coding RNA, 238 nt
Filed under: Hevea brasiliensis (rubber tree)
Lineage: Eukaryota; Viridiplantae; Streptophyta; Magnoliopsida; Malpighiales; Euphorbiaceae
Source: RNAcentral
GCAGAAUCAAUGGGCAGCAAUGGAUUGGGUACCUUCCUCUCUCUCCUCCCCCUCCAUCCUUCCCCUCCUCCCCCCCUAAAAAAAUCUUCUUCUUCUUCUCUCUAUUGUUAGUUUAGUACUUUGAUAUUUGACUUGUGAUCUUUAGUUCUAUCAAUUGAGCACCGUUACUUGUCAGGGAAUAUUCUUUUAUUUUCCCACCCCUCUUUUAAUGACUUUCUCAUUUUAUCUUUUUAGCCAA